This 74-nucleotide transfer RNA is filed under the name Thermoleophilaceae bacterium. RNAcentral describes it as "tRNA-Met". It matches the Rfam family "tRNA". From Rfam's summary of the family: Transfer RNA (tRNA) molecules are approximately 80 nucleotides in length. RNAcentral also lists the same sequence under 1 other name. Lineage: Bacteria; Bacillati; Actinomycetota; Thermoleophilia; Thermoleophilales; Thermoleophilaceae. The record is from RNAcentral.
GGCUCCGUAGCUCAGCUGGUUAGAGCGCACGACUCAUAAUCGUGAGGUCGGAGGUUCGAGUCCUCCCGGAGCUA